GAUGAACGCUGGCGGCGUGCCUAAUACAUGCAAGUCGAGCGAACAGACGAGGAGCUUGCUCCUCUGACGUUAGCGGCGGACGGGUGAGUAACACGUGGAUAACCUACCUAUAAGACUGGGAUAACUUCGGGAAACCGGAGCUAAUACCGGAUAAUAUAUUGAACCGCAUGGUUCAAUAGUGAAAGACGGUUUUGCUGUCACUUAUAGAUGGAUCCGCGCCGCAUUAGCUAGUUGGUAAGGUAACGGCUUACCAAGGCAACGAUGCGUAGCCGACCUGAGAGGGUGAUCGGCCACACUGGAACUGAGACACGGUCCAGACUCCUACGGGAGGCAGCAGUAGGGAAUCUUCCGCAAGGGGCGAAAGCCUGACGGAGCAGCGCCGCGUGAGUGAUGAAGGUCUUCGGAUCGUAAAACUCUGUUAUUAGGGAAGAACAAAUGUGUAAGUAACUAUGCACGUCUUGACGGUACCUAAUCAGAAAGCCACGGCUAACUACGUG
This 497-nucleotide ribosomal RNA is filed under the name uncultured bacterium. RNAcentral's name for it is "partial 16S ribosomal RNA". It matches the Rfam family "Bacterial small subunit ribosomal RNA", at positions 28 to 507 of the family's 1533-position model. The record is from RNAcentral.